GACGAACGCUGGCGGCGUGCCUAAUACAUGCAAGUCGAGCGGACUUUCAAGAAGCUUGCUUUUUGAAAGUUAGCGGCGGACGGGUGAGCAACACGUGGGCAACCUGCCUGCAAGACGGGGAUAACUCCGGGAAACCGGGGCUAAUACCGGAUAAUAUCUUCCUUCGCAUGAAGGAAGGUUGAAAGGCGGCGCAAGCUGCCGCUUGCAGAUGGGCCCGCGGCGCAUUAGCUAGUUGGUGAGGUAACGGCUCACCAAGGCGACGAUGCGUAGCCGACCUGAGAGGGUGAUCGGCCACACUGGGACUGAGACACGGCCCAGACUCCUACGGGAGGCAGCAGUAGGGAAUCUUCCGCAAUGGACGAAAGUCUGACGGAGCAACGCCGCGUGAGCGAAGAAGGUCUUCGGAUCGUAAAGCUCGGUUGUCAGGGAAGAACAAGUACCGUUCGAACAGGGCGGUACCUUGACGGUACCUGACCAGAAAGCCACGGCUAACUACGUG
Molecule: ribosomal RNA, 499 nt
Filed under: uncultured bacterium
Lineage: Bacteria
Description: partial 16S ribosomal RNA
Rfam family: Bacterial small subunit ribosomal RNA
Source: RNAcentral